GGUCAAGCUAAUAAGAGCGCAGGGUGGAUGCCUUGGCACUAAGAGCCGAUGAAAGACGUGAUAAGCUGCGAUAAGCUACGGUGAGGAGCAAAUAUCCUUUGACCCGUAGAUUUCUGAAUGGGGAAACCUGGCUGAGUAACCCUCAGUCACUGUAUACUGAAUACAUAGGUAUGCAGAGGGAACCCGGGGAACUGAAACAUCUAAGUACCC
This 210-nucleotide ribosomal RNA is filed under the name Acetobacterium sp. RNAcentral describes it as "partial 23S ribosomal RNA". It matches the Rfam family "Bacterial large subunit ribosomal RNA", at positions 1 to 211 of the family's 2925-position model. The record is from RNAcentral. Lineage: Bacteria; Bacillati; Bacillota; Clostridia; Eubacteriales; Eubacteriaceae.